Molecule: ribosomal RNA, 408 nt
Filed under: uncultured bacterium
Lineage: Bacteria
Description: partial 16S ribosomal RNA
Rfam family: Bacterial small subunit ribosomal RNA
Source: RNAcentral
AACGAACGCUGGCGGCGUGCUUAACACAUGCAAGUCGAACGAAGUGGAGAACGGGUGAGUAAUACGUGGGUAACCUGCCCUCCUUGUUGGGAUAAGCAUUGCAAACGGGGUCUAAUACCAACUAAAUGGGGAUGGGCUCGCGGCCUAUCAGCUUGUUGGUGGGGUGAUGGACUACCAAGGCGGUGACGGGUAGCCGGCCUGGGAGGGUGAACGGCAACUGUGAGACGGAGAUACGGCCCAGACGGGUACGGGAGGGGGAAGUGUGGGCUAUUGGACAAAGGGCGAAAGCCCGAUGCAGCGACGCCGCAUGGGGGAUGAAGGUUUUCGGGUUGUAACCCUCGUUCGGUAUCGAACGGUUAGGUGGAGAAGAAGCGCCGGCUAACUACGGGCCAGCCGCCGCGGUAAUUC